UACGGAGGAUGCAAGCGUUAUCCGGAAUGAUUGGGCGUAAAGCGUCCGCAGGUGGCUAUGUAAGUCUGCUGUUAAAGAGUCUAGCUCAACUAGAUAAGAGCAGUGGAAACUACAUGGCUAGAGUGCGUUCGGGGCAGAGGGAAUUCCUGGUGUAGCGGUGAAAUGCGUAGAGAUCAGGAAGAACACCGGUGGCGAAGGCGGCAUCCUGGACCGGUAUUGACGCUGAGGCGCGAAAGCCAGGGGAGCAAACGGG
RNAcentral lists this ribosomal RNA (253 nucleotides) under uncultured bacterium. RNAcentral describes it as "partial 16S ribosomal RNA". It matches the Rfam family "Bacterial small subunit ribosomal RNA", at positions 524 to 776 of the family's 1533-position model. The record is from RNAcentral.